CCCUCACGCCUCACUGCCUUAACCGUCAUCAACAAACCUAGCUUCACUGCUUCAGUUUCUUCACGUUCUUAGCUUCUUGUUUAUUCAAUCUUCAUUCUUCAGUUCUUUUCUUGUUUCUUCAAGUUUCUCAGUUUUCUUUCCGGCCGCCUCACUCGACACUCACUGCAUUCUAUUCUGUCUGUGCCUCAGCCGACGCCGUCUACGCCAUUUGAGCGCUGGAAGACUGGAAGUGGACAAACCCAAGUUGCAGAUCUAGAGCAAUAGGUCCUUCAUUUCUCGUGAACCCAAGUUGCAGAUCUGGAGCAAUAGGUCCCAGCGCUGGAAGUGGACGAACCCAGAGUUGAUUUGUUACAAAACGCAGUGAUGGGUUAUGUGUGAUGGGUUGCUUAGGAGUCAAGCUCGAGGAAGCUAAUCGGGAGAUUCAAGGAGUCAUGCGUUUGGCGAGGUACAAAUGUAUAGGUAAGGAUGUAUAUGAACCGAGCCGAGCCGAGCUUUGCAUGUUCGAACUCAGCUCGACAAAUUUUUAGUGUUAGAGCUUGGCUUGAGCUUGAUGAAAUUUUCAAAAUUUAUGUUCGAGCUCGGCUCGUUUCCUUCUCAAGUGGUUCGAACUCAACUCAAACUUGAUAAGUAUUUAUCAAAUAAACGAGAUCUAACUUAUUUAAAUUUUCCUUUGUUUUUGAAACCCCAAACAGAGAGCAAUACUGCAUUAGAGAGGAAACAAAAACACACACACACACAAACACACAAAAUCGUCGAUGAAAUGAAAAAAAUCACAGUGCCAAUGAAAUUUUAGGAUAAAUAACUCUAAACAACCUAUGAGAUUUUUGGAGAAAUGAAUAAAAACUCAAAGUUCUUUCUACAAGAGAGUAACCAAGUAACAAAAAUAAAAUGAAAUAUUUUAUACAAAAUAUAUAUGCCCAUAAGAUGAUGAAGCAUGCAAUUCUGCGGGUGAGCCCAAGACAAGUUGUCGUCGUCAUGAGAGAGGCUUCGAGAUCUAAUUGUACAGAGAGAAGAUGAGAGAGGGGUUGAGAUUCUUGAGAAAAAGCUGUUGCCAGUAAGGGUUAAAGACGUUUGUGAGAGAGGCAUAUCAAAUCUUAUUGAAUGUAGGGUGGGUAGUUGAGAGCAUUAACUAUUUGAGUCUGUCGAGUUGAGAAACCGAAGAGUCGAAGACGAAGAGGUAAGUUUCGUGGCAGCGUGAGAGUUGAGACUAAAGAGUAAAGAGUAAAAACUUGAAGUCGAAGAUGUGAAAAACAAAAUAUCUGAAAAGAAUCAAAUUAUUUGACCGUUGGAUCUUCAUCAAUGUGAUCCAAGCCACACAAUGCUUUUCAAAUUUCGAUACAUCUUCUUAUCUACUCGAGGACUAUUGGAAUUUGGAGUCUUGGAGAAACUAGAAGAUCUGCUCGAGGUCUAUUGGAAUUUGGAGUCUUAUCUUUUAUUUCCAAGUUGGAUCCUUAUGUUCAAGUUGUUCAACGUCAACCCAUCAAGAUUCUAAGUCCUAA
Long non-coding RNA from Alnus glutinosa, 1499 nucleotides. RefSeq lists it as uncharacterized. Lineage: Eukaryota; Viridiplantae; Streptophyta; Magnoliopsida; Fagales; Betulaceae. The transcript has 3 exons. The record is from RefSeq and is a predicted model, not a curated record.